UACGAAGGUGGCAAGCGUUGUUCGGAUUUACUGGGCGUACAGGGAGCGUAGGCGGUUGGAUAAGCCCUCCGUGAAAUCUCCAGGCUUAACCUGGAAAGUGCAGAGGGGACUGUUCAGCUAGAGGAUGGGAGAGGGCAGUGGAAUUCCCGGUGUAGCGGUGAAAUGCGUAGAUAUCGGGAGGAACAUCAGUGGCGAAGGCGGCUGCCUGGCCCAAUACUGACACUCAGGUGCGACAGCGUGGGGAGCAAACAGG
Molecule: ribosomal RNA, 253 nt
Filed under: uncultured bacterium
Lineage: Bacteria
Description: partial 16S ribosomal RNA
Rfam family: Bacterial small subunit ribosomal RNA
Source: RNAcentral